RNAcentral lists this ribosomal RNA (497 nucleotides) under uncultured bacterium. Its description in RNAcentral is "partial 16S ribosomal RNA". It matches the Rfam family "Bacterial small subunit ribosomal RNA", at positions 28 to 507 of the family's 1533-position model. The record is from RNAcentral.
GAUGAACGCUGGCGGCGUGCCUAAUACAUGCAAGUCGAGCGAACAGACGAGGAGCUUGCUCCUUUGACGUUAGCGGCGGACGGGUGAGUAACACGUGGGUAACCUACCUAUAAGACUGGGAUAACUUCGGGAAACCGGAGCUAAUCCCGGAUAAUAUUUCGAACCGCAUGGUUCGAUAGUGAAAGAUGGCUUUGCUAUCACUUAUAGAUGGACCUGCGCCGUAUUAGCUAGUUGGUAAGGUAACGGCUUACCAAGGCAACGAUACGUAGCCGACCUGAGAGAGUGAUCGGCCACACUGGAACUGAGACACGGUCCAGACUCCUACGGGAGGCAGCAGUAGGGAAUCGUCCGCAAUGGGCGAAAGCCUGACGGAGCAACGCCGCGUGAGUGAUGAAGGUCUUCGGAUCGUAAAACUCUGUUAUUAGGGAAGAACAAAUGUGGAAGUAACUGUGCACGUCGUGACGGUACCUAAUCAGAAAGCCACGGCUAACUACGUG